RNAcentral lists this microRNA precursor (87 nucleotides) under Salicornia europaea (common glasswort). RNAcentral describes it as "miR11030a stem-loop (seu-MIR11030a)". Lineage: Eukaryota; Viridiplantae; Streptophyta; Magnoliopsida; Caryophyllales; Amaranthaceae. The record is from miRBase by way of RNAcentral.
AGCACUUCCUAAAUUGAUUUUGGCACUCCUCACCUUCUCACAUGAAUAGUAAGGGAGAGGAGUACCAAUAUCAAUUUUAGAAGUGCC